UGGGUGAACUGUGCUGCAAAA
Molecule: non-coding RNA, 21 nt
Filed under: Caenorhabditis elegans
Lineage: Eukaryota; Metazoa; Nematoda; Chromadorea; Rhabditida; Rhabditidae
Source: RNAcentral